This 585-nucleotide long non-coding RNA is filed under the name Linum usitatissimum (flax). RNAcentral describes it as "long non-coding RNA (LUSI_LNC005802)". Lineage: Eukaryota; Viridiplantae; Streptophyta; Magnoliopsida; Malpighiales; Linaceae. The record is from RNAcentral.
CCACACACAAUCUCAAAAACCCUUCAUACAAAACUAUCCGAAUAGAGAUAUGAAUAAGGCAUCUAUGAAGCUGGUUGUUUUGUUCGUGCUCCUAAAUUUCAUCGGAGGUACUUAGUUUUUGUGUUUGGAUACUAAUAAUAAUCGUUCGAAAAAUGUUAAUCCGAUUUUUAAAAUAUUAUAUAAAUACAAUUGGGAUGCGAUUGGUUGUAGGUGAGGCGUCCAACAUUAGAACAGAAGCAAGAGUCGACGAAAUCGAGAUAUUAUGCAGAAGACAGUGUCCUUUUCCAAUAUGUCGUUGCAUAAACGGGAACUGUAUUUGCCCCAAGGACUCGCCGGUGACAUCUUCCACGAAGAUGUCGAAAGUCGGAGAGGAAGGAGCUAGAUUAGAUGGUCGUUAUAUAAGGUUUUGCAGCGCUAAUAACUGUCCACCCCCAUGUCAUUGCGACCCUUAUGAUUGCGCAUGCCCCAACCAAUAGAUUGACGCUCAUUAUUCAUCUCUUUCUUUUUAAUGAUUUUUACGUUUAACUCAAGUAUUAAUAAUAAUUCGGAAAAUAAAUGAAAUAUUAAUGUUUUAGUACAAUGGUA